CGUUUCCUCCACCGUUACACGUGGGAAGGAUUUUUUAUUUUUUUCCAUUUUUUUCCCCUCCACCCUGUUUCAGAUCCCUUUCUCUCUCUCUCCUCCCUUUCUCUUCUUUUUUUAUUUCUGCUCGAGUUCUAAAGGGUACUUUUUAAUUCCGAUUUUUUUGUCCGUAUUUGUUGUUUAUGCGAAAGUUAUGCGAAAAACAGGAAAAAGUGAUAUACGCGUAACCGUGUGGUUCGGAUCGCUUGCAAGCAUUUUCAAAUUCCCAGCGAGAUAUUUGUAUUUCAUGAAAUUAAAGUUGGUAAAAUAAUUGUCAUUAUUCGAAAUGAAAUAUGAAUUCCUUUUUAUCCAUGCUGCUAUGUUAAGCUCGUUGCAUUCGUAUUUUUUAUAUUGUUAUAAAGCAGAUC
This is a long non-coding RNA of Apis dorsata (giant honeybee), 401 nucleotides long. RefSeq lists it as uncharacterized. The record is from RefSeq and is a predicted model, not a curated record. The transcript is spliced from 3 exons. Lineage: Eukaryota; Metazoa; Arthropoda; Insecta; Hymenoptera; Apidae.